This 395-nucleotide long non-coding RNA is filed under the name Nicotiana tabacum (common tobacco). RNAcentral describes it as "long non-coding RNA (NTAB_LNC001364)". Lineage: Eukaryota; Viridiplantae; Streptophyta; Magnoliopsida; Solanales; Solanaceae. The record is from RNAcentral.
AAAGACCUCAUCACGCUCGAGCGAGCCAGUGUUGGAGUGGUGGCGACGAUGACUAUAUUUCCAAGAGAAGUAAGGCACCAUCAGAGCAGAGUGGAGGAUAAGCCCGACAGUGUCAUCGACCCACUGGUAGUCACUAAAGGCAUGGUGGCCACAUUCGUGCGCAAUGACCCAAAUACCAGUGCAAACGCAUCCCUGACAAAUCCAGUAAAUAGGCCAUGCAAGGUAGCAAUACGGGGACGGGAGGAGGUGGAAGUAAGUGAUGGCAAUGUAGUAGAAGACGGACACCAGUAUAAGGUCAUACACAACAUAGGAGAAUGAACGAACGAGAGACCGCUGAAAGCAGUGAGGUGGGAUGGCCUUCUUGAUAUCACCAACUGUGAAAGGUGGCUUUGAGG